This 431-nucleotide ribosomal RNA is filed under the name uncultured bacterium. RNAcentral's name for it is "bacterial SSU rRNA". It matches the Rfam family "Bacterial small subunit ribosomal RNA", at positions 47 to 524 of the family's 1533-position model. The record is from RNAcentral.
CCUAACACAUGCAAGUCGAACGAUGCUUUCGGGCAUAGUGGCGCACGGGUGCGUAACGCGUGGGAAUCUGCCCUUGGGUUCGGGAUAACCGUUGGAAACGACGGCUAAUACCGGAUGAUGACGUAAGUCCAAAGAUUUAUCGCCCAGGGAUGAGCCCGCGUAGGAUUAGCUAGUUGGUGGGGUAAAGGCCUACCAAGGCGACGAUCCUUAGCUGGUCUGAGAGGAUGAUCAGCCACACUGGGACUGAGACACGGCCCAGACUCCUACGGGAGGCAGCAGUGGGGAAUAUUGGACAAUGGGCGAAAGCCUGAUCCAGCAAUGCCGCGUGAGUGAUGAAGGCCUUAGGGUUGUAAAGCUCUUUUACCCGGGAUGAUAAUGACAGUACCGGGAGAAUAAGCCCCGGCUAACUCCGUGCCAGCAGCCGCGGUAAU